CUUUCUUUGCUGGCGACCGGCGCACGGGUGAGUAACACGUAUCCAACCUGCCCUUUACUCGGGGAUAGCCCUUCGAAAGAAAGAUUAAUACCCGAUGGCAUAAUUAGACCGCAUGGUCUUAUUAUUAAAGAAUUUCGGUUAUCGAUGGGGAUGCGUUCCAUUAGGCAGUUGGUGAGGUAACGGCUCACCAAACCUUCGAUGGAUAGGGGUUCUGAGAGGAAGGUCCCCCACAUUGGAACUGAGACACGGUCCAA
Molecule: ribosomal RNA, 254 nt
Filed under: uncultured bacterium
Lineage: Bacteria
Description: partial 16S ribosomal RNA
Rfam family: Bacterial small subunit ribosomal RNA
Source: RNAcentral